Nycticebus coucang (slow loris) is the source of this 343-nucleotide long non-coding RNA. RefSeq lists it as uncharacterized. The record is from RefSeq and is a predicted model, not a curated record. Lineage: Eukaryota; Metazoa; Chordata; Mammalia; Primates; Lorisidae. The transcript is spliced from 3 exons.
AAAAGACUGAGAUAAAAGCAGAGACCUCUGCUAAGGGCAGGAAGAAGACCCAGAUGAUGAAGUGUACUGUGGUCCUCUUAACUGGUUUCAAAUACCUCUGUGAGGUAGAGAAAAAUUCAGUGGGACAAGCAUUAUUGGACAACGUAUGUGACCAUCUGGAUGUGCUAGAAAGGGACUAUUUUGGGCUCAUGUUUUACGAAAAUGUUGAGGAGAAGGAUGGAUAAAUCAGCUCACACUGUGUAGGCACCUGCAUGGUGGGUAUUAAGGGUGCCUGACACAUGGGAUGGAGACACAUUGGAGGGAUUCUAUGUGAGGAUACCCAAGGCUCAUGGUGACAGUAAAA